This 467-nucleotide ribosomal RNA is filed under the name uncultured bacterium. Its description in RNAcentral is "partial 16S ribosomal RNA". It matches the Rfam family "Bacterial small subunit ribosomal RNA", at positions 28 to 507 of the family's 1533-position model. The record is from RNAcentral.
GAUGAACGCUGGCGGCGUGCUUAACACAUGCGAGUCGAACGAUGAUGCCCAGCUUGCUGGGUGGAUUAGUGGCGAACGGGUGAGUAACACGUGAGUAACCUGCCCUUGACUCUGGGAUAAGCCUGGGAAACUGGGUCUAAUACCGGAUACGACCAUCUGGCGCAUGUCAUGGUGGUGGAAAGCUUUUGUGGUUUUGGAUGGACUCGCGGCCUAUCAGCUUGUUGGUGGGGUAAUGGCCUACCAAGGCGACGACGGGUAGCCGGCCUGAGAGGGUGACCGGCCACACUGGGACUGAGACACGGCCCAGACUCCUACGGGAGGCAGCAGUGGGGAAUAUUGCACAAUGGGCGCAAGCCUGAUGCAGCGACGCCGCGUGAGGGAUGACGGCCUUCGGGUUGUAAACCUCUUUCAGUAGGGAAGAAGCGAAAGUGACGGUACCUGCAGAAGAAGCGCCGGCUAACUACGUG